UUUUUUUUUUUUUUUUUUUUUUUNAUCUUAUUGGAAUAUAGUUGACUUACAAUGUUGUAGUAAUUUCAGGUGUACAGCAAGGUGAAUCGCUUAUACAUAUACACAUUCUUUUUUUUCCCAUAUAGGUUAUUACAAACUAUUGAGUAGAUUUUUCCUAUGCUAUACUGUAGGUUCUUAUUAAUCAUCUAUUUUAUACUGUAGUGUAUGUAAUUCCCACCCUUCCAAUUCCUCCCUCCCCCCAACAGUUUCUCCGAUGGUAACAGUAACCUUAGUUUUAAAAUCUGUGAGUUUGUUUCUGUUUUAUAAAUAGAUUCUUUUGUAUCAUUUUAAAUUAUAUUCCACAUACAAGUGAUAUCAUGUGCUAUUUGUCUUUCUCCCUACCUCUUUUUAUUUUAUGUUGUCUUUUUAUCUAUUUUGAAGGCUGCACCACAACGCCGGAUCCUUAACCCACUGAGCAAGGCCAGGGGUCGAACCCGCAACCUUAUGGUUCCUAGUCAGAUUCACUAACCACUGAGCCACGACAGGAACUCCAGUAAUAAUUUUUUUUUAAAUAAUUAUACAUUGAAAUGCUACUGUUCUGGGCAUAAUGGACUAAAGAAACUUAGAAUUCAUCUCACCUCUUCUUUUUAAAUUUUUUAACGUGGCUACUAGAAACUUUACAGUGAUUUGAGUUUUGUAUUACGAUUCCUUUGGACAGUGCUGGUCUAGGGUAUUCCUUGGGUGUUCUGCCUUUGAGUCUUAAGGAACCAGAAAGGAGGAGACUGAACCUCACGCAUCUUCCUUAUGAAAGGAUGUGAUCCUGAACAUACAUGAAUCCUUGCCCUCCCAUGGGACUGACAAGGAGCUGAGUCACCUGCCCCUCCCUAGCUGCAAGGGAGGCAGGAACACACUUUUGCUAGACGGCAGCCUCCAAACCAGCUAAACCUCAGGGGGCAGGAGGAAUGGCUACUGGAGAAAAUUGACUCAAUCAAGUUGAAUUGCUACCUGUCCCCCAAAAGACAUUGCAGUCCUAACCCCCCUAGUACCUCAGAAUGUGCCCUUAUUGGAAAUGGGGUCUUUAUAAUCAAGUUAGAAGGAGGCCAUUAGGGUGACCACUAAUCCAGUACGAUUGGUGUCCUUAUGAUAAGGGGAAACGUGGACACAGACCCACACAGGGGAGACCACGUGAGUAGACAGAGAUAAGGCCAGUGAAGGUGAAGGCAGAGACCAGGGUGAUGCACCUGUAAGCCAAGGAAACACCCAAGGUUGCCUUCAGAGCACUAGGAGUGAGGACAGAGGUGUGAAACCAGUGUACCCUCACAGCCUCAGAGGGAACCAACCCUGCCAACACCUGGCUCUUGAGCUUCUAGCUUCCAGAGCUACAAGACAAUAAGCUUGUUAUUUAAGGCUCCCAGUGAGUGGCACUUUAGGGUGGCAGCCCUGGGAAAUGGAUGCCCUCGGCGACAAACCAAGGCAGUUUCCACGGUGAGGUGUGCCAGAUGUUCUUUGUUUUGAUUACUUUUGCCCCAGAUGUGAAUCUUGGCUGCCAUUUGCCCAUUGUUUCUUUUCUGUCUGUCAGUGGACGUCUGUUGGAACAGGUUGUUCAGGUGAUGUUAAGUGCCUUGUCCAUGUUCGAAAUGAAAACUGCUGAGUGUUGUCAGCUGAUGACAUGAGGGUGUCCAUCAGGCUUUUCCUUUGCGUCCAGUAAUACACUGGGUGACCUAUUUAAUGAGAUGUAUGAUCUACAGGAUGCGUGCUAAGUACACUGCUUGCCGUCAUCACUUUGGGAUUGCUUACACAGAUGGGAACUGUCACAAUCUGAUCCCACACCUUCACAGGAAAAUUUGGGAAUGAUGUCACCGAUUACACAUUAUCAAUUUAGUUUUAGGUCACACCGAGUGCAUGCAUUCAUUCAGUCAACAUGCAAUUCAUACAACUGUGAAAUAUGAGGAUUCUAAAUUCUAUCAGUUAAUUGCAUUUGAACAUAUAUGCCAGUUUGACUUGCUUGAAAAUUGGGGCUUAGAAUUCUGAGCAAAAUGUUAGAUUUGUUGCAAAAGAAUUUAAAAUUGUGGCACUUCCACUUCCUAGAUAUAUAGCUUUAUUACUGUAACCUGAUAAUGUAUUAAUUUUUUAAAACCCACAUUGACCUCUUCAUUUGUACUUGAUUUACUGCGGGUUAUUUCCUACCGCUAUUGCUUGCCAAGCCCUGUCUUUCUCUUUGUGUGCUUGCCCUGUUGGGUAUUUGAACCCAAAUGCAGGACACUGUAUUAUCCCAGUUAAAUUUUAUUUUCUUUGUUAAGUUUGUUCAGUUUCAUUUUCUAUAAAUCUGUUGCUCUGGUUUUUGCAUCAAAUUCUGACUCUUAACAUAAUCACACUGAGUUAUGCACAAACUUAGUAGGCAUGCCUAUUUUUUAGUAUUGAAAUAUAGUUGAUUUGUAGUGUUGUUUCAGGUAUACAGCACAGUGAUUCACAUAUAUAUAUGUGUAUGUGUGUAUUUUUUCAGAUUCUUUUCCCUUAUAGGUUAUUAAAAAUAUUGAAUGUAGUUCCCCUGUGUUCUACAGUAGGUCCUUGUUGCUUAUCUAUUUUAUGCAUAGUAGCGUGUCUAUUAAUCCCAAAUUCCUAACUUAUUCCUUUCUCUUCCGACGUGCCUAUUUGAUCUAAGUCACUAAUUUAAUAGUUAAGUCACUAAUCUUUAGAUAUGGAUAUGUAACCAGACCUCAAAGAAUGUGAAUUUAGGCAUUGCCCAUUUGGAAGAUAGCAGUAGCUGUUAUGUAUAUGGCAUUGCCAUAUGUUGUCUGUAUCAUUUACAGGCAUAGUUCAUGUUAUGUACUUUCCAGAUAUUGCAUUUUUUACAAAUUGAAGAUUGCUGACAACCCCGCAUCCAGCAAGUCUAUUGGCACUGCUUUUCCAACAGCAUUUGCUCACUUCGUGUCUCUGUCACAUUUUGCUAAUUCUCAAAGUUAUUGCAGACAUUUUCAUUAUUGCUAUAGUCAUUGUCAUGAUUUGUGAUCAGUGAUCUUUUAUGAUGCUAUUGUAAUUGUUUUUUGCUUUAUAAUUUUAAGUUACGUACCUUGUUUUCCAAGACAUAAUGCUAUUAUAAGGCCACAGUACUGUGUAAACAGACUUUUAUAUGUACUGGGAAACUAAAAAUUCUUGACUCACUUUAUUGCCAUAUUUUAUUGCAGUAGUCUGGAACUGAACCCACAUUAUCUUUGACAUAUGCCUGUAUGUGAUAAUUAUUGACCUCCUUCCAAAUGGGCAAUGCCGUAAUCCACAUUUUUGGAGGUCUGGUUACAGCUGGUCCAUUAUAUUAUUUCUCAUCUCCGUUCUUCCGUCUUGGCCCAGUUUUAUCCCUUACUAUCUGUGUGAUACCGGGUAAGUUAUGUAAUCUCUCAUCUGCGGUUUUCUUGUUUGUAAACCAGAGUGAUACCAGCACCUCCCUUCCAGCAUCAUUGCAAGGAUUAGGGUAAUAUCUGGCACAUGGUAAAUCCUCAAGAAAUGGUAGCUAAUGAGACCUGUUACCCUGAUGCCUCACCCAGUACCUGGCAUUUGUAGAUCUUCAGUGGUGUGUGAUUCAUGAAUGGGUUCAAAGUUUACCAGUUGACUAUGAUGGACAUGCAUGAGCCAGUUCCAGCAGUACAAGGCUUGUGGCAUUCAAAACAAAACCAGGAGUCCAGGGGACAAGUACAUAGGAGUUUAGAGAGGGCUGCAUUGCAAAGAUGAGCUUGGGACUGGACUUCCUUGAUUGGGCAGUUAGGAUUAAUGGAGGGAAACUGGUACUGGCGAGGGAACGUCAAGAGCAGAGGUGGUAGGAGGAGACUCAGGGAAGAGGGAGGUGUACAGAGUAGUCAGCUUGCGUGGGAGGGAGGGGCUUCUGCACAGCAUGGAAAGCAGGGGGCAGGGGGUGUAGGUAGAACUGAAGAGUGAGGCUUGAAGCUGAUGGCAUUUUGGACAUUAGGAUAAUCUGGGGGUUUUGUGUGACCCACUAGGGAAGAGGGCCAGGCCCAGGGCCAAGGCUCGGGUGGUGGCUGCCCUGGGAGGGAAAGGAUGUGGUGCCUUGAGUGGGUGUGGGAUGAAGAGCAAGGAGGAAACCGCAAUUCCUGUUGCUACACAAAGGCCACACCCCACCCUGGGCGUGCGAGCCAAGCGCCAGCGCCCCUCAUCUCCUGAGAAAUCUGGCGUGGGCUGUUAUCACGCUUGCCUUUUACUAGCAGCUUGGUGGGAAGAGACAUUAGGAAACUUCAGAAGUUUAAAAAAAAAAAAA
This 4243-nucleotide long non-coding RNA is filed under the name Sus scrofa (pig). RNAcentral's name for it is "lncRNA (ENSSSCG00060039616.1)". Lineage: Eukaryota; Metazoa; Chordata; Mammalia; Artiodactyla; Suidae. The record is from RNAcentral.